GACGAACGCUGGCGGCGUGCUUAACACAUGCAAGUCGAACGCUGAAGCCCUUCGGGGUGGAUGAGUGGCGAACGGGUGAGUAACACGUGGGUAAUCUGCCCUGCACUCUGGGAUAAGCCUUGGAAACGGGGUCUAAUACCGGAUAGGACACAUCGCCGCAUGGUGUGUGUGUGGAAAGUUCCGGCGGUGCAGGUUGAGCCCGCGGCCUAGCGGCUUGUUGGUGGGGUGAUGGCCUACCAAGGCGACGACGGGUAGCCGGCCUGAGAGGGUGACCGGCCACACUGGGACUGAGACACGGCCCAGACUCCUACGGGAGGCAGCAGUGGGGAAUCUUGCGCAAUGGGCGAAAGCCUGACGCAGCAACGCCGCGUGGGGGAUGACGGCCUUCGGGUUGUAAACCUCUUUCGACCGGGACGAAGGAUUCGUUUGACGGUACCGGUAGAAGAAGCACCGGCUAACUACGUGCCAGCCGCCGCCGUAA
This 481-nucleotide ribosomal RNA is filed under the name uncultured bacterium. RNAcentral's name for it is "partial 16S ribosomal RNA". It matches the Rfam family "Bacterial small subunit ribosomal RNA", at positions 28 to 523 of the family's 1533-position model. The record is from RNAcentral.